CCUACGGGUGGCAGCAGUGGGGAAUAUUGGGCAAUGGGCGCAAGCCUGACCCAGCAACGCCGCGUGAAGGAAGAAGGCUUUCGGGUUGUAAACUUCUUUUCUCAGGGACGAAGCAAGUGACGGUACCUGAGGAAUAAGUCACGGCUAACUACGUGCCAGCAGCCGCGGGAAUACGUCGGUGGCACGCGUUAUCCGGAUUUACUGGGUGUAAAGGGCGUGUAGGCGGGGACGCAAGUCAGAUGUGAAAACCACGGGCUCAACCUGUGGCCUGCAGUUGAAACUGUGUUUCUUGAGUACUGGAGAGGCAGACGGAAUUCCUGGGGUAGCGGGGGAAUGCGUAGAUAUAAGGAAGAACACCAGUGGCGAAGGCGGUCUGCUGGACAGCAACUGACGCUGAGGCGCGAAAGCGUGGGGAGCAAACAGGAUUAGAUACCCUAGUAGUC
This 443-nucleotide ribosomal RNA is filed under the name uncultured bacterium. RNAcentral's name for it is "partial 16S ribosomal RNA". It matches the Rfam family "Bacterial small subunit ribosomal RNA", at positions 338 to 795 of the family's 1533-position model. The record is from RNAcentral.